Molecule: ribosomal RNA, 429 nt
Filed under: Verrucomicrobiota bacterium
Lineage: Bacteria; Pseudomonadati; Verrucomicrobiota
Description: Verrucomicrobia bacterium partial 16S ribosomal RNA
Rfam family: Bacterial small subunit ribosomal RNA
Source: RNAcentral
UAGGGAAUCUUCCGCAAUGGACGAAAGUCUGACGGAGCAACGCCGCGUGAGUGAAGAAGGAUUUCGGUUCGUAAAACUCUGUUGUUAGGGAAGAAAAAAUGUAUAGUAACUAUAUACAAAAGAGACGGUACCUAACCAGAAAGCCACGGCUAACUACGUGCCAGCAGCCGCGGUAAUACGUAGGUGGCAAGCGUUGUCCGGAAUUAUUGGGCGUAAAGCGCGCGCAGGUGGUUUAGAAAGUCUGAUGUGAAAGCCCACGGCUCAACCGUGGAGGGUCAUUGGAAACUAAUAAACUUGAGUGCAGGAGAGAAAAGUGGAAUUCCUAGUGUAGCGGUGAAAUGCGUAGAGAUUAGGAGGAACACCGGUGGCGAAAGCGGCUUUCUGGACUGCAACUGACACUGAGGCACGAAAGCGUGGGUAGCAAACAGG